ACUUUUGUGACUUAGUUGGUUAGAGCGCUGCACUGGAAUCGCAGGGCCGCAGAGUUCAAAUCGUGCCAGAGGAC
Paramuricea clavata is the source of this 74-nucleotide non-coding RNA. The record is from the annotation of a GenBank genome assembly. NCBI's taxonomy places the organism in Eukaryota, Metazoa, Cnidaria, Anthozoa, Malacalcyonacea, Plexauridae.